Molecule: ribosomal RNA, 429 nt
Filed under: Chloroflexota bacterium
Lineage: Bacteria; Bacillati; Chloroflexota
Description: Chloroflexi bacterium partial 16S ribosomal RNA
Rfam family: Bacterial small subunit ribosomal RNA
Source: RNAcentral
UGGGGAAUAUUGCACAAUGGGCGCAAGCCUGAUGCAGCCAUGCCGCGUGUAUGAGGAAGGCCUUCGGGUUGUAAAGUACUUUUAGUCGGGAGGAAGGUGGUAAGGUUAAUAACCUUACCAAUUGACGUUACCGACAGAAGAAGCACCGGCUAACUCCGUGCCAGCAGCCGCGGUAAUACGGAGGGUGCAAGCGUUAAUCGGAAUUACUGGGCGUAAAGCGCACGCAGGCGGUUGAUUGAGUCAGAUGUGAAAUCCCCGGGCUUAACCCGGGAAUUGCAUCUGAUACUGGUCAGCUAGAGUCUUGUAGAGGGGGGUAGAAUUCCAUGUGUAGCGGUGAAAUGCGUAGAGAUGUGGAAGAAUACCGGUGGCGAAGGCGGCCCCCUGGACAAAGACUGACGCUCAGGUGCGAAAGCGAGGGGAGCAAACAGG